RNAcentral lists this ribosomal RNA (801 nucleotides) under Arthrobacter woluwensis. RNAcentral's name for it is "bacterial SSU rRNA". It matches the Rfam family "Bacterial small subunit ribosomal RNA", at positions 110 to 922 of the family's 1533-position model. The record is from RNAcentral. Lineage: Bacteria; Bacillati; Actinomycetota; Actinomycetes; Micrococcales; Micrococcaceae.
GUAACACGUGAGUAACCUGCCCUUGACUCUGGGAUAAGCCUGGGAAACUGGGUCUAAUACCGGAUACGACCAUUGCCCGCAUGGGUUGGUGGUGGAAAGCUUUUGUGGUUUUGGAUGGACUCGCGGCCUAUCAGCUUGUUGGUGAGGUAAUGGCUCACCAAGGCGACGACGGGUAGCCGGCCUGAGAGGGUGACCGGCCACACUGGGACUGAGACACGGCCCAGACUCCUACGGGAGGCAGCAGUGGGGAAUAUUGCACAAUGGGCGAAAGCCUGAUGCAGCGACGCCGCGUGAGGGAUGACGGCCUUCGGGUUGUAAACCUCUUUCAGUAGGGAAGAAGCGAAAGUGACGGUACCUGCAGAAGAAGCGCCGGCUAACUACGUGCCAGCAGCCGCGGUAAUACGUAGGGCGCAAGCGUUAUCCGGAAUUAUUGGGCGUAAAGAGCUCGUAGGCGGUUUGUCGCGUCUGCUGUGAAAGGCCAGGGCUCAACCCUGGUUCUGCAGUGGGUACGGGCAGACUUGAGUGAUGUAGGGGAGACUGGAAUUCCUGGUGUAGCGGUGAAAUGCGCAGAUAUCAGGAGGAACACCGAUGGCGAAGGCAGGUCUCUGGGCAUUAACUGACGCUGAGGAGCGAAAGCAUGGGGAGCGAACAGGAUUAGAUACCCUGGUAGUCCAUGCCGUAAACGUUGGGCACUAGGUGUGGGGGACAUUCCACGUUUUCCGCGCCGUAGCUAACGCAUUAAGUGCCCCGCCUGGGGAGUACGGCCGCAAGGCUAAAACUCAAAGGAAUUGACGGGGGCCC